RNAcentral lists this ribosomal RNA (1380 nucleotides) under uncultured bacterium. Its description in RNAcentral is "16S ribosomal RNA". It matches the Rfam family "Bacterial small subunit ribosomal RNA". The record is from RNAcentral.
UUCGCCCUUAGAGUUUGAUCCUGGCUCAGGACGAACGCUGGCGGCACGCUUAACACAUGCAAGUCGAACGAGAGAAGAGAAGCUUGCUUUUCUGAUCUAGUGGCGGACGGGUGAGUAACACGUGAGCAAUCUGCCUUUCAGAGGGGGAUACCGAUUGGAAACGAUCGUUAAUACCGCAUAACAUAAUUGAACCGCAUGAUUUGAUUAUCAAAGAUUUAUCGCUGAAAGAUGAGCUCGCGUCUGAUUAGCUAGUUGGUAAGGUAACGGCUUACCAAGGCGACGAUCAGUAGCCGGACUGAGAGGUUGAUCGGCCACAUUGGGACUGAGACACGGCCCAGACUCCUACGGGAGGCAGCAGUGGGGAAUAUUGCACAAUGGAGGAAACUCUGAUGCAGCGAUGCCGCGUGAGGGAAGAAGGUUUUAGGAUUGUAAACCUCUGUCUUUGGGGACGAAAAAUGACGGUACCCAAGGAGGAAGCUCCGGCUAACUACGUGCCAGCAGCCGCGGUAAUACGUAGGGAGCGAGCGUUGUCCGGAAUUACUGGGUGUAAAGGGAGCGUAGGCGGGAUCGCAAGUCAGAUGUGAAAACUAUGGGCUUAACCCAUAAACUGCAUUUGAAACUGUGGUUCUUGAGUGAAGUAGAGGUAAGCGGAAUUCCUAGUGUAGCGGUGAAAUGCGUAGAUAUUAGGAGGAACAUCAGUGGCGAAGGCGGCUUACUGGGCUUUAACUGACGCUGAGGCUCGAAAGCGUGGGGAGCAAACAGGAUUAGAUACCCUGGUAGUCCACGCCGUAAACGAUGAUUACUAGGUGUGGGGGGACUGACCCCUUCCGUGCCGCAGCAAACGCAAUAAGUAAUCCACCUGGGGAGUACGACCGCGAGGUUGAAACUCAAAGGAAUUGACGGGGGCCCGCACAAGCAGUGGAGUAUGUGGAUUAAUUCGAAGCAACGCGAAGAACCUUACCAGGUCUUGACAUCGUAUGCAUAGCUCAGAGAUGAGUGAAAUCUCUUCGGAGACAUAUAGACAGGUGGUGCAUGGUUGUCGUCAGCUCGUGUCGUGAGAUGUUGGGUUAAGUCCCGCAACGAGCGCAACCCUUACUGUUAGUUGCUACGCAAGAGCACUCUAGCAGGACUGCCGUUGACAAAACGGAGGAAGGUGGGGAUGACGUCAAAUCAUCAUGCCCCUUAUGACCUGGGCCUCACACGUACUACAAUGGCUGUCAACAGAGGGAUGCAAAGCCGCGAGGUGGAGCGAACCCCUAAAAGCAGUCUUAGUUCGGAUUGUAGGCUGCAACCCGCCUACAUGAAGUCGGAAUUGCUAGUAAUCGCAGAUCAGCAUGCUGCGGUGAAUACGUUCCCGGGCCUUGUACUCACCGCCCGUCA